GAUUGCUGAAUCCAUUUAAUUAAUCGGGUUUAAAAGAUGAAUAACAAACACAAAAAUUUCUUAAUGGGCCUAAUGCUAAAAAACCAAAUAUUGAUAUCUAAACUUAACAAAUUACAGACCCAGAUUUUAAAAUAGAAUAUGCAAGGAAAAAACCCCUUUUUUUAUAAUCCAGCAAACAUACACACAUUACCCUGGUCAUGAUAAAGCAUAAUAACAGAAAUAACACUUAUACCACAAACUUCAUAAUCUCAAUCAAAUGGAAAAUCGAAAUCGAAACAUCACCCAAUCAUGUGUUCACUCAUAAGUUGCAUUCACAAGUUGCAUUCACAAAUCUAACAUGAAUAAAAAUGAUUCCUAGUUUAAAAAAUCCAACCUAGUCUCAUGAAACAAAAUCGAAAUGAAUUAAAACUCAUAAUGAAUUAAAACUCAUAAUAUUGAAAGCACAUCCUGUAAUCAUAUGGAAAUAAUCAUAAACAUCCUAACAGUGGACAUACUCUCAUAGAGAGGAAAUCAAUCAGAACUUCAAACCAGUUCGCGACCAGAUGAAUUAUCAAACACCAAAAUACAUUUAAUAUACUCAUAUCGAAAUGCAGCAGAAUAAACCAACCAUUAAAACCGAAUCAAGAGAUGAAGUUCAAAGGAAAAUCCAAAACACCAAAAUACAUUUAAUAUACUCAUAUCGAAAUGCAGCAGAAUAAACCAACCAUUAAAACCGAAUCAAGAGAUGAAGUUCAAAGGAAAAUCCAACCGUAUCUACAGCGUCAGCUCGCCCUUUUCACCGAUGACCCCGAAUCGUGCUUAAACUUUGGCUCUGUGUUCAACUCCGCUUCAGCUCUAAUCUGAAUCACGAAUCUCGUCGGUAUGGUUGCCGGUUCGUGUCGUCAAUCUGCGUUUUAACCAAGAACCGAAUGGAACCCUUCGAUACCACAAUCAACCCAAAAUCCAAUUCCAAUUGAAAACAAACGCAUAACCUGCAUAAAAAACAGACAAAUCCGACAUAACGCAACACAAGCUUCACAUAUUUGGAAGCGGAAAAACAGAGUUUGAUUCGAAAAUGUGAAUUUUGAUACGGUAGCGGCGGAAAUAGAGGGUUAUUGGUGGGAGAUUGGUCGUUUGAGGAGCGAUUGGGUGAGGAUCGGCGAUGCUUUAGUGAGAGCAUGCAGAGCGAGGGCGAAGAGGGUUUUUGCUGUUGGGUGGUGGUGACGAAAAUGAAGGGUGUUAUGGUGGGUUGGUGAGCGUGAGAGAGAUGAUCAAUGGUGUGGGUGGAGAUUCGGCGAUUGUGUUUUUGAGGUGGUGAGGGUUUGGAAGGCGAAUACGGGGAGGGUUUCGAUGAAGGCGCUGAAGGGUUUGACGGUGGUUUGAGACGAUGAAGAAUCUUAGCGGUUUGAUGGAGGUGUCGGUGGUUGUUGGUGAAGGGGUUAACGGCGGAAGGUGAAAGGAUUUAGGGCGAAGCUUGUGCAGUGGCGGCGGUGGAUUUGGGCGAUGGUUGAGAGACGACGAAGGGUUUUUUUGUUGUGGUGAGGGCGAGAGAGUGAAUCUGAGAGUGGGUUGUUGUUAGUGAGUGGAAUGAGAGUGGAGAGGUUGUUAGUAGUGGGGCAGGGACAAUGGAGAAAAACGUUAGGAAUUUGUUACUUACUGAGUUUUUGUUUUUAGUGAAU
Molecule: long non-coding RNA, 1658 nt
Filed under: Lathyrus oleraceus (garden pea)
Lineage: Eukaryota; Viridiplantae; Streptophyta; Magnoliopsida; Fabales; Fabaceae
Description: Pisum sativum (pea) long non-coding RNA (PSAT_LNC024009)
Source: RNAcentral